This 496-nucleotide ribosomal RNA is filed under the name uncultured bacterium. Its description in RNAcentral is "partial 16S ribosomal RNA". It matches the Rfam family "Bacterial small subunit ribosomal RNA", at positions 28 to 506 of the family's 1533-position model. The record is from RNAcentral.
GAUGAACGCUGGCGGCGUGCCUAAUACAUGCAAGUCGAGCGAACAGACGAGGAGCUUGCUCCUCUGACGUUAGCGGCGGACGGGUGAGUAACACGUGGAUAACCUACCUAUAAGACUGGGAUAACUUCGGGAAACCGGAGCUAAUACCGGAUAAUAUAUUGAACCGCAUGGUUCAAUAGUGAAAGACGGUUUUGCUGUCACUUAUAGAUGGAUCCGCGCCGCAUUAGCUAGUUGGUAAGGUAACGGCUUACCAAGGCGACGAUGCGUAGCCGACCUGAGAGGGGGAUCGGCCACACUGGAACUGAAACACGGUCCAGACCCCUACGGGAGGCAACAGUAGGGAAUUUUCCGCAAUGGGCGAAAGCCUGACGGAGCAACGCCGCGUGAGUGAUGAAGGUCUUCGGAUCGUAAAACUCUUUUUUUAGGGAAGAACAAAUGUGUAAGUAACUAUGCCCGUCUUGACGGUACCUAAUCAGAAAGCCCCGGCUAACUACGU